GAUGAAGAACGUAGCGAAAUGCGAUAAGUAGUGUGAAUUGCAGAAUUCAGUGAAUCAUCGAAUCUUUGAACGCACAUUGCGCCCCUUGGUAUUCCAUGGGGCAUGCCUGUUCGAGCGUCAUUUGUACCUUCAAGCUUUGCUUGGUGUUGGGUGUUUGUCCCUCGGGACUCGCCUUAAAGUCAUUGGCAGCCAGUGUUUUGGUUUUGAAGCGCAGCACAAGUCGCGAUUCAAGGCUAUCCGCCCGCUUCCACAAGCCUUUUUCACUUUUGACCUCGGAUCAGGUAGGGUUACCCGCUGAACUUAAGCAUAUCAAUAAGCGGAGGA
RNAcentral lists this unclassified non-coding RNA (324 nucleotides) under soil metagenome. RNAcentral describes it as "partial contains 5.8S ribosomal RNA, internal transcribed spacer 2, and large subunit ribosomal RNA". The stretch from base 1 to 120 matches the Rfam family "5.8S ribosomal RNA", at positions 35 to 154 of the family's 154-position model. The record is from RNAcentral.